GAGGGAUCAUUAAAGAGUUCUAUAACUCCCAAACCCAUGUGAACAUACCUAACGUUGCCUCGGCAGGUCGCACCUACCUUGUAGCACCCUACCCUGUAGGGCCUACCCGGGAGGUGCGGGUAAGCCUGCCGGCGGCCCACCAAACUCUGUUUGAUAUUGAAUUCUGAACCUAUAACUAAAUAAGUUAAAACUUUCAACAACGGAUCUCUUGGUUCUGGCAUCGAUGAAGAACGCAGCGAAAUGCGAUAAGUAAUGUGAAUUGCAGAAUUCAGUGAAUCAUCGAAUCUUUGAACGCAUAUUGCGCCCAUUAGUAUUCUAGUGGGCAGGACCGUUCGAGCGUCAUUUCAACCCUUAAGCCUUCGUUGCUUAGUGUUGGGAGCCUACGGCAACGUAGCUCCUCAAAGUUAGUGGCGGAGUUGGUUCACACUCUAGACGUAGUAAUUUUUUAUCUCGCCUAUUAGUUGGACUAAUCCCCUGCCGUAAAACCCCCAAUUUAUCAAGGUUGACCUCGAAUCGGUUCAGACAAACUCGCUAAAUUGAAGCAUCUUAGUCAGCGAAGGAAAAGAAACCAACAGGGAUUGCCCUAGUAACGGCGAGUGAAGCGGCAACAGCUCAAAUU
Molecule: ribosomal RNA, 619 nt
Filed under: fungal endophyte
Lineage: Eukaryota; Fungi
Description: eukaryotic LSU rRNA
Rfam family: 5.8S ribosomal RNA (bases 189-342)
Source: RNAcentral